Molecule: unclassified non-coding RNA, 10348 nt
Filed under: Leishmania donovani
Lineage: Eukaryota; Euglenozoa; Kinetoplastea; Trypanosomatida; Trypanosomatidae
Description: gene:LdHU3.26.2390(CDS-product:hypothetical_prote in_conserved)
Source: RNAcentral
CAGUUCUGUGUGUGCGUUACGCAACCCCCGCACCCCCACACUCCCACCCCCCUCCCCCCACACACACAAACCCAGCUCUCCCUCACACUCCACCCCACACACGUAAGCGAGCUUUCACAGCAAAGAAUCAGGCCGAAACCUUUUUUUUCCUUCGGCCUCUCUCUCCGUGUAUGUGUGAGCCUGUGUGUGUGCGUAUAUUCGUGCAAGUGUGCGAGUGGGUCAGUAUUGUUGUUGUUGCUGUGCCUUUCAGCUUGUGAGAUCGUGCGCGUCUCCUUCUCUGUGUGCGUGUGUGCGAGUGUGGAGCGAAAAAGUGAUAGGGUGGCUGCGUGCUGUGCGCCUCGACCAUUGCGGCGUGUGGCUCCCUUCGGUAGUCUUCUUGCCCUUUCCACCACCGCACCCCUCACAGUGACUUGCCCUUCCCUCUUUCUUCCUUUCCUUUUCCUCUCCUGCUUCACCUCUUGUUGUACUUUCUCGGGGACUGCGCUGCUCUCCUCUCCAUUCCGCCACACAUUCCACACCGUUCCGUCGCCCUCUCGACAUCCAAACACUCGACGCACGCCUGCUGGGUCUGCGCGUGUUCGCGCUUCCACUGCCAGCGAGGUGCGGAUACGAAGAGAGAGGGAACACACAGGCGGGUGCGAGGCGGGGGAGCAGCGGCGAAGGAGAGCGCUAUCGCCGCUCACAUAAGGGCACGCAAGACAAGCUCACAUCUGCCACACACGAGCGCGUUUUGUAGUUUGGCUUGUUUCGUGUUGGUUGCUUUUUUUGUUUCUUUCUGUCUGUGUUGUUCGCUGGCCUCCUGUGUGCUCGUCUGGUUCUCUUGCCUCGGAGGCCUCUCUCCUUUUCUCAGUCCGUCUGUAUCUCGCAGUCUCGACAGCGUGCGGUGGGGCAAGCGGGUUGUGCUGCAGCCCUCCUUCGGACUUUUCCUCUUUUUCUCUCUCAACACAAAGUCACGCUGCAGCCACGUGUGUGCCUGUGCGUGCGCUUACACUGGCAGCUGGCGCCUCUCACUCUUGUUGCCGCGCCUGUGAACGGUGUGUCUCGUCUGGCGCUCUCUGUUCUCCUUCCCUGUGAUCUCCCUGUCGUCUCUCCUUCCGAGCAUCGUCGUCGCGUGACUUGCGCGCCGUGCGUGCGCAGCUGGCUCUCUUUUUUUUGUUCGUAUUCUGGGUGUUCUCGGCGUAGACGCGAACAAGAAGACAAAACGAGGGAAGAAGCGCGCGCUCUCUGUGUGUGUUCAUCUUCUUUUCGGCUCCUGCUGCUGUAUCGGUUGACACUUCACGCGGCCUCAUUUAACGGUUCUCCCCUUCCCUCGCUACUUCAACUCCCUCCUUCCUUCACUCCGCAUAAUCAUCUUGUCUUCGACUGCUGGUUGCCCUCCUCUCGUGCGUGCGUGUGUGCCUCUCUCUGUUUCUGUUCCUACAAGGACUGGUUUCGUCUUUCUCCCUUUCCAGGCUGUCGCUGUGCCUAUCACCCCCCACACCCUCCUCGUCCCUCUUCUCUCUCGUGCUGCGUGUAUAUCUUUGCGUGCUGUCGCCCUUGUGCACUUGACGUAUCUCUCUCUGCCUGUGCAUCUGUUUCUGUUUCGUUCUCUAGAGUCGGUUGUGUGUGUGUGUGUGUCUCCUUACGGGCCCUGCUUCCGUUUUCGCUUCUCUUGCUGUCCCCCCUCCUCUCCAUCCUCUCCUUCCCCUUGCUUCUUUACCGAGAGCCGCACAACGAAUUCUCUCCAACACACACACACACACACACACACACACGCCGCUCUCUCUUUGUAUAUCCAUAUUGGUGUUUAUGCUUUUGGGCAUCUCGCGGCGUCCGAUUUUGAACGUGCCAAGCUCUCUAUCGCUUGCAUCACCUACUGCCGUGGCGGCGCCGUCCAUCACACACGCGUCUUUUUGGCGACGAGGACGACUGCUGCUUCUUCUCGCCUCCUUCCCUCUCCCCUCUCUCUCGGUUAUCUGUUUUCUUCGCCUGUUGCGAGAGCUUCCCGCCUCUCCCUCCUUUUUUCGUGCGCUGUAGUGGCCGCCCGCCCUCCGUCUCCCCUCUCUGUUGUUCGGUGGCUCUCUUUCUCUGCAUCUGGACAUCUCUUUCGGUUCAGCUGGCUCGCUCACAACCACAGACACACACACAAGCACACACGCGCACAUCCUCCUCUUCCCUCCUUUUUUUUUCGCGCAUCUCUCGAGAGCUGCUCUUUCUUUUCGUCCCCCUCUGUGUUGGAGACUCUCUCACCUGUGAGCCGCGUGGCGAGUCGUCGUCGCUGAUACGCCUGCUCCCCUCUCUCCUGUGCCGCUUUAUGGGUCUUCGCUCGUCCUCAGGUUUCUCUCUAGUUGUGUGUACCACUCAGAAAGACGAACGGCCCUCUCCACCUCCUCGACUCCGCAGAACAGUGCUCCAACAGACAGCUGAUAGGAGGCCUCGGGGGAGAGAACAACUCCGUCCACGGUGCUCCUUUUCUAUUACUAGAUAUCUGUAGCGUCGGACGCAGAGACAAUAAUGGAGGGCUCGAGCAACAGCCUUGGCUCUGGUGGCGGUCUCGCGACGGCUGUGGCCAAGCCUGGCAUGCAACAUGGCGCUAGCAGCAAGGCCAAGUCUCUCACUUCAAUGCCAGCUCGCAGUGGCACCGGUGCGGGGGCAGCAGAGGCUUCUCUAGGUGAUACAGCAGAUCCCAUUAGUAUACACCACCUACCUCCUCCGCCGCCUUCCCAGCUGACGACCUCUGGCGCUGACGCCGAGGCCCCACACGUGGUCUUGGGCGGCCGGGGUCCUGCUGGUGGUAGCACGGUGACAUCCUUCGCCACUCCCGUGGCCAGCGAUGGGCCUGUGGCGGUGCGUAGUGGCAUGUAUCCCUCCUCACGGCGUCAGGGAGGGGCGGCGGCGUCAGUCGGCGCUCGUUCGAUGCUGCCUAGGGCAGGUGCGAGCAGCGCAGCUAUGCCGGCCGCGUACUGUGGAGGAGAGGACGCCAACGGUGAGUCGUCGGCACCCAACACGGGCUACUACUACAGCAAGUACUACGGUAGCGACCAAGCGAGCUACUACAGCUCAAGCACCUACGGCUACUACAAUAACCAAGGCGAGUACCCAGGAGGUGGUGGCGGCAGCAGCGGCUCGACGAACAUGCCCUACGGAUCUACCUCUGGCCCCAUGGCAGGUAGCACCAGCAGCGGCGCAGGGGCGAGUGACGGCCAAUCAGUGCCCGUGUACUCUUUUCCCUACCAACCGUCAUCGUCCGCGACGGCGAAUCCACAGCAACACCCGAACCAGCCCCCUGCCCAAUACCAGCAGUCACAGCGACAGCAGCCACCGCAGCCACCGCAGCCGCCGCCGCCGCCGCCACAACAGCAGCAGUCUCAGCAUUCACCGCAGCACCAGUCGCCCUACAGCCCACAGAUGCCAGCCACGGAGCAGGGUAGCAGUGCCUAUCAGAGCUAUUAUCAGCAGACCUACCAGCCACCGCAGCAGCCGCGGCCGCAGCAGCUCCCAAUCACAGCCUCCACCUCUCAAAGCUUAGGCGGGGAGAGUCAGUACUACGGCUACUACUACAGAAGCGGCUCUGACCCGCGUCGCGGCCACGCCCGCACGGCGAGCGGCGGCAGCGGGGCGCACUACUACAGCUCGCAACAACAGCAGCAGCAACACGGAUACCCGCCGUCAUCAUCCGGCGAGGGGGAGGCACUCUGCAAUCAGGGCAGCAAUAUGCAGAGCAGCAGUCAAGGGGGCGCCACAGAGGGCUACUACCAGCAAUAUGCUCAAUGCCCAGCAUACUCAUUUCAGGGCUCUCCGCCUUCUGCACAGCAGCAGCAUUCCUCCUACAUGGGUGGGGAGGGCCAAAACUCCUCCGUCUCCGCGUCAUACGGCCUCGCCGUGCAUGCCGCGAGCAGGGGCAGCCAGCCUUGCAGCACCACUACUAGCGCUUACGGUGGCGAGAGCGAUGCCACACAGGGUACCUCGGCGGCGCGCUACGCCGGUGGCGCGUAUGGCCAGCCAGAUAACGCAGGCAGCAACAUGAACGGGUCCGAAGGUGGCGGCGUUGGCGGGCGUGGUUAUGGUUCUAGCACUGCAGCAGCAGCUGCGGGUAAUGGCGGCGCUGGUGCCGGCGGCGGUAGUGCAAGUGGAGGCUACUACGGCGUCGCCUACUCCAGCGGCUAUAGCGCACCAGCGCCGCAUGCAUCUCGCGCACGAGGUGUGCCGUAUAGAGACGCCGGCGGUGACACCGGCGGCAUGCCGCUCGGCCCCGCCAGUGGCAAGAGCGGCCAGGCAGCGGCCAGUGGCAGUUACCUAUCUCCACAGCAAGGGAGCGGGGCUGAGGUUGAGGAUGGCGGCCAGUCGUAUCACGGCUACGCGGCGAACGGAUACCGCGACUACUACGCGGCUGCGAAUCAGAUCGGCAGCAGCGGGAUCAGUCCUGGGUACGGUUACCCGGCAGGCCAAGCCUCGCCACAGCAGCAAACCAUCGCCUAUCAUGCCUCCUAUGCCUGCGGAGAGGCGCAGCCGGGCUCAUCCGCCGCUGCAUCGCCGCCGGUCACUGAAAACCACCAACGCGGCAGCGGAGGCCCACCUCAGCCACCUCAGCCGCCGCAGCAGCAGUACCAGCGGGGUGGCAGCUUCUACGCGGCUGAUCCUCGCUUUGGCGGUGGGGGUGAUAGCAAUGGUGGCAGCUACGACGCUCACGGCUACACCCCUCAUCAUCCGCAGCAGCAACAGCAGCAGGGAUACCACCGUGGUUACAGCGGCUCCUCGCAUCCGCAGUACCGGGCUGACGCAAGGCCGGGCGGAGCAUCGAUGCCCGUCAGCCGCACCUCUCAGUACGUGUCGCAGCCACCUGAGACGGCGCCGCGGCGUUACAAUGUUGCGGAGGAGCAAGGCAAGAAUGACAGGGCAGAGGAGCUUGUCAGGACGCAGGCUUCGGACGACAUGGUGCCGAUGUCGUUGGUGAGGAGCGGGGGUCACAGCAGGAGCAACAGCAGCGGCAACGGUCGCGGCGACGGCGGCGUUGGCAGUGUGGCCCCCGCGCCAUCCCGCAAGAGAGGGAAAAAGGGAGGGAACAGCGGCACCGAUCGUGUGCAGUCUGCUGCACAAACUGAGGGGGCACCUGAAGCAGCGGAGAAGGAUGGGAAGCAUGGGACGUGCGGCCAACGCAGUGCUGAGGUCAGCACUCAAGUCGCGCCUGCGUCCGCGAAGAGUGCGGAGUACAAGCGGCAGGCCUCGUCUCAGCAGGCGGACGCGCCGAUCCCGGAGCAAACAUUGCGUACACGCGAGCCACUCGUUUCACUAGAGUUGCCACCCUCCUCGCUGAACGCGCCACAUCCCCAGCAACCGCCACCGCAGAAUGCGGGUGAGGACAGCACUACCGACAGGAGCGACAGAGUGCCGAAGGACGCGGCCCGUUCGCAGCAGACGAGUGAUCGCUGCAUGCCUCCCAAGGGUAGCGUGACUGCAGCGGCGCACGACAGCGGUGAGUCUUCGCUAAGCGGAGCGGAGGACAACGCUGAUGAAGAGGCUGAAGCUGACUACGCCACCGAGACUUUCAUGAACAGCAAGCGUGAUACGGCCACAUCAGCCAUGACUGCGAUUCCAGUUGGCCGCCAAGGUGCCGGCUCCACUGGCAGCGGGAGUCGCAGCCAGCCGCAGCACCGCAGCAGCAGCACCGAGCGCAGUGCUGCGCACGCGAGCUCUGUAUCACAUGGCAGCGGCAGCGGCAGUGGUGCGCAGAGCUUCCUGCGGCCCUCUCCGCUGACGCAGUGUCUCGGCACGCCAUUCCACACAUACAUCUGCGGCGCCAUUGUAGAGCAGGCGGCGCAGCUGCAGACAAACGCAUGUUCGUCUUCAGCCACCGGUGGCGGGACCGGAAUCGCCGCUGGCAGUACAGGUACCCCGCCCGCGUCCCUCUCGACGGCCGCACUCGCAGUGAGGCCGGCCAUGUACGCCCCUGUCCAGCGUCUGCUGUCGCGCGAGAUGUCGCGUGGGGCGUGCAGCGCGACUGAGGAAAGGGACCGCGGACUAGCGCAGCCGUCCAUGGUCAGCGGUGACGUCGAUGCCGAGGGCGCCCGCGCGUGCAGCGAGGAGGACGAGGGGUACGCCCACGGCGGAGCGGAGGCGGCAGAGGCGGCGGGCGAGGGCAGCAAAGAUGACGAUGCCGAGGGCGGCCUCGAAAGCGUGCGCGACCUCGGUGGUAUGAAGCCCGCCACGAAGCCGCUCACAGCCGACGCGCUGGCGGCUGCGCGUGAUGCAUCCAACACGACGACUCCCCCACCUCGUCCCGGCACCACACUCACAGACAGCUCUCUCCGCUCGAUCGGUGGUCGGCCCCACCACCUGCACCUGCUCGCCCACCACCACAGCCACCACAUGCGACGAUCGACUCCCGCCUCAGGCGUGUCAUCGCCCUCGGUGCCGAUACAGCACCACUGUCACGCCUAUCAUGGCACCUCGCCUUUUCUGCAACCAGCCUCGCUGGCUUCCAGUUGUACCGCGUUUCUCUCGGCAGGUGGCGGCGCAGCCGCGAACAAAUACGCUCAGUCUCCGGAAAGCGGCUCGAGCGCAGCGCUGCCGCCGCGGCUUCCCAGCGGAGGUGGGGGCAGCACACCGCACCUGCACCGAGCUGGCGGCGGGUCGCGUGAGGGCAGCGGCGCCGCUGCGACCAUGCAGCAGCCGCCUUCUAUGGUUUCCUACCCCCACCGCUACCCCAAUCAGCCCUCGUUUGAUCUAGACGGUGGCCGCUGUGCCGUCGUGAUGGAGGGGGCAUCAGGAGACGCGGAGGACCACUUGCAGUACUGCUACCAAGGAAACAACACUCGUGCCUGCAACACCACGAAACUGUCUCUCCGCCAACAGCAGCAGCAGAGUACAGGGGCUGAGGCCGCCAUCAGCGGCCGUCGUGCCGGCCCCGGCGUUACCUCGCUGACGUCCUCGCCCGCCACCGUGGUGUGCGGCUCCACGUUUCUCAAUACACCCAGCCAAAGCAGCCUCCUCCUCUCGAACGGUGCAACGGCACGGCCGGGGUCUGCGACGCCGUCGCCGACCAUACAGCAGCACCAGCACCAACGGAUCGCCAACAGUGGCGGCGCCAGUCGUUUCGCGACGAGCCCAGACGGUGGUGGCCAGCAAGGCAGCAUGAAUGGACCAGCGAACAACAUUAGCAGCACCGGCGGCAGCAGCCAUCGCGUUGGUUCUCCCGCGCACAACCGCUACACCAGUCCCACGCACACGAAUGGUCACCACGCCGGCGGCAGCCAAAUCAACUUGCAAGCAGGCGGGCGCUACCCGAUGCCGGCGACGCGUCCGCCCUACAUCUACGAGCACCAUGUGGGGCAGGAGCUACUUCUGGAGGAAUUUCACGCCGCAAUGCGCUUCAACGCCGCGUCUUUUGGCAAUAUUGCGUGCCUCGUGGACGCUUUCUCCCCGCAGGUGCCGGUGGCAAGCGAUCUCGAGUUCCCUUGCAACGAGGACCACUGCCAGCUUAUCUGCACCCGCGGCAGCAGAGGGCUCUCUUCGUCGCCUGGCGGCGGCAGCAGUCAGCACGGUUCCGCGCAGGGCAGUCGCAGCAGCCGUGGCGGUACAUUUCUCGCCCUCCAGAGCGAAGACGCGCGCGCCACAGGCGGAGCAGGACACAACAGCACGGGCGGCGGCGGUGGCGGCCAGGAAGGGCCAGCGCUGCCGCCACUGCGUCCGGCGCAAGCAGAUCGGACGCACUACUGGGACUUUUCCGGCCCCUCCUACUGUGAGCCGGUCAUGACGCUCAAGUCCAUCUGGCAGAGUUUCGAUAGCCCGUUCGGCUGCGUCGUGAACCUCGCCGAGCCUAUCUACCCGGCGCCGAUGCGACCUGCUGAGGGCGAGCUGGUGUAUACACCGCUUCUGAGCGGCUUUCGCAUUCGCUUCCACCCAGCCUCACCGGCGUACAAGCGUCUCACCGCGCUGCGCGAGGUUCGCCGCCAGCGGCGUCGGGAGGAGGCUGCGGCCAGUGAGAGCGUCGGUGUGUCAGCGGAAGAUGAGCAUGCCACCACUGGCGUGGAAGGGGUGGCCCGUGGCGGCGGCAGCAGUCAUACAGCAGGCUCCUACGCGGAGGAGGAUGGCGUACUCACGUGGAGCGCCACCGACCGGCCUAACAAUCGGAACAUUAUCGUGGAGCAGAUCGUGGAGCUGGCGAAGUGCGACGAGAGCUACGCAGAGCUGCUGACCGCCACUACGGCAGAUGUUGACCACCAGUCGUGGGUGGCGCUCAUGUGGCAGCCUGUGUUCUGUGGCGGCCAUUCCUCGAAGCACAGCUGCGGCACCUUCCUCGCCUACUACCUCCUUCGAGCACCGCGGCACCUGUUCGUCCCGUUCGCGGAUAAGAGUGAAGGCGCAGCGAUGAACAGCUCGUGGAACAGCCCCGUCUUUCGCGGCGACCGUGCUGCGCUCUCCUUUGACCUCUGGAGCCUGCAGAGGCACUACCAUGUCGCGCGCUGGGUCUCGCCGCCGCCGAUGACGCACAUUAUGACGGCGCUGUCCGUCGACGGCGAGGACGAUGAGCCGGACAACGGCUCGUCCUCGUGCGCGUCCACCAGCCGCGGCCGCAAUUCGUGGGAAGAGGGGCAAACCGGCUGCGCGUCGAACCGCACCACGGAGAGCUUCGCCUUCAGUACCAACGGCGACUCGCGUCUGCGUCUCCGCGACGCCUACAUGGGCAGCACCGGCGCAGGCGCUGUCGUCGGCGGGGAAAGCAGCAGCACCACGAUCGCCGGCGCCGUCGCCGCCCCGCACACCACGACGGGCACCGCGAACGCAGCAGCCUGCCCAACAAGAGCAAAGGCGUCGACGUACGUGCGCAUUCCUCUUGUUGGCCUGAUCCCGAACCGAUGCCGCUCCGAGGUGUGGUUCAAGCCCGUGUAUGACGCAUCGCUGAUGGACGUGCAUCGCCAUGGUGGCGGUAGCGGAGGUGUGAUGGGCGGCGGUGAUGGAGUGGGAGCUGGUGCUUCCGGUGUUGGUGCUGGCAUGGGGGCCUCGAACGGACUCGGUGGUGCCGGGGGGGGCGGCAGCGGCGCUGGAGGCAAUGUGGGUGACAACGGCGACCACACAGGCCUCUACGCCUUUUACGCACCCCUCUUCCUCAUCGUGACGGCGUUGCAGCUGAUGUGCUGGGACGCCUACAACGAGUGGGAGCGCAAGUCGCCCACUUGCGCGGCCGCAGCUGGUCGACCGUCGGCGUUCUCCGAGGUGAGAAGAGAUGCAGGGGACUCUGAGGCGGCCAUUGGCGGGGCUUCUGGUGCGGCUGGCACCCCCUCCUCGUCCUUCGCUCCUUCGCCUGCGACGGCAGAGGAGGCAAUUGUGGCUGCGCAGCGACAGCAGCAGCAGCAGCAGUCGGACUACGAAUCAGAAGCCACCGCCGGUGCUGGAACCGGAGGCGGAAAUCCAAGCAGGGGCGCGGCAACUCAUCGCAGAAACCCGUGGUCCUCCUACGUUGCUAAAGGUGUCGAGCUGAUGACGGAUGCGGCCCGGCAGUAUCGCGCAGUGCGCGAGGUGGCUAACCUCGACGGCAGCGCCGAGGAGGGCACCAGUGGCUGUGCUGUAGUGUUCAGCAGCGGUGGCUGUGCUGCGACGACGAGCGAAGGGUGUAUCGGCAGUGCAGAGGAGAAGCGGCCGGUUGACGGGGACAAGAGCGUGGCGAAGCAGCAGCGUGGUGGAUGCGCGGUUGUGGCCGGCGGAACAAGCAGCUCUCUCUGCGACCCGGCUGCUCGCGUGAUUGCAGGGCUGCUCGACUACUAUCAGUGGGCGCAGUACGAUACCUCUCUUACGGCACUCGCAGCCGCCUACUGUGCCACAUAAGAUGUGCUCAAGCAAAGAGACCCGGUGCGCAUACGCAUGUGCUUGACGUACUGCCGCCCAGCAUUUUCGUUCCCUCCCUCUGUACCACAGCUACUGCCCCUGGCCCUCCCCUCCGCUGCUCUCCUUGGGCGAGUACUGUCUUGCACGCAGCCGUUGUCGACACCAUCUGUUUCUCUUCCUCCGUUCCGUACUCAGCCCCCACCUUUCUCCUCCGAUACACACACACACACACAUAAUGCGUUCGUGACCGUCGCAGUUGCGCCUCGUGGCUGUUUUCUAUCUUCAUCGCUUACUUCUUUUUGUAGUUUGUCGACUAUCCUCCCCCUUCUCACUUCAGCUGUGCGUGUGUGUGUGUGUGUGCAUGGAUGCCGUUGCACUUUACCGACGUUGUGGCUUGUUUCUGCAGUGGCGCGCGCGUAUGUCUUCUCUCUCUGUGCCCCCUCCCCUCUCUUCCCUUUCGGACCCUCUUCUCUUCUCCGUCUUCUCCGCUCCGCCGCGGCCAUUCCCCCAUGGCCGUUGAGUACAGGAGUAUCAGGGACAGCACAAC